RNAcentral lists this ribosomal RNA (497 nucleotides) under uncultured bacterium. RNAcentral's name for it is "partial 16S ribosomal RNA". It matches the Rfam family "Bacterial small subunit ribosomal RNA", at positions 28 to 507 of the family's 1533-position model. The record is from RNAcentral.
GAUGAACGCUGGCGGCGUGCCUAAUACAUGCAAGUCGAGCGAACGGACGAGAAGCUUGCUUCUCUGAUGUUAGCGGCGGACGGGUGAGUAACACGUGGAUAACCUACCUAUAAGACUGGGAUAACUUCGGGAAACCGGAGCUAAUACCGGAUAAUAUUUUGAACCGCAUGGUUCAAAAGUAAAAGACGGUCUUGCUGUCACUUAUAGAUGGAUCCGCGCUGCAUUAGCUAGUUGGUAAGGUAACGGCUUACCAAGGCAACGAUGCAUAGCCGACCUGAGAGGGUGAUCGGCCACACUGGAACUGAGACACGGUCCAGACUCCUACGGGAGGCAGCAGUAGGGAAUCUUCCGCAAUGGGCGAAAGCCUGACGGAGCAACGCCGCGUGAGUGAUGAAGGUCUUCGGAUCGUAAAACUCUGUUAUUAUGGAAGAACAUAUGUGUAAGUAACUGUGCACAUCUUGACGGUACCUAAUCAGAAAGCCACGGCUAACUACGUG